UAUGGGUCUGUGGUUGAAAGUCGAUGCCAGUCGCAGGCGAAACGAUCCACGUAAGCGGGCAAAGCCCCGUGAGCAUGGUGCGGCUUAGAAGUAAGACCAACCGGAAAACCGAGAGAGGUAGUAGUGGGGAGCGACACGCUUAGGAGCGAACCCUCCAGUUGGCGAGUGUGGGGGCAAAAACCAGGUCAGCCAU
This 193-nucleotide non-coding RNA is filed under the name bovine gut metagenome. RNAcentral's name for it is "raiA RNA". It matches the Rfam family "raiA RNA". The record is from RNAcentral.